GGGUCAGUAGGUUGGUCGUGCCACCGGUACGUACUGGUCUCACUGAUUCCUCCUUCCUGAAGAACCGUAAUGCCAUUAAUUUGGUGUUGCGGGGAAACAGGACUGCUACUUUGAAAAAAUUAGAGUGUUUAAAGCAAGCUAACGCUUGAAUACAUUAGCAUGGGAUAAUGAAAUAGGACGAUCGAUCCUAUUUUGUUGGUUUCUAGGAUUGACGUA
RNAcentral lists this ribosomal RNA (216 nucleotides) under Glomeromycotina sp. RNAcentral describes it as "partial small subunit ribosomal RNA". The stretch from base 40 to 216 matches the Rfam family "Eukaryotic small subunit ribosomal RNA", at positions 686 to 864 of the family's 1831-position model. Lineage: Eukaryota; Fungi; Glomeromycota. The record is from RNAcentral.